This 253-nucleotide ribosomal RNA is filed under the name uncultured Kofleria sp. RNAcentral describes it as "partial 16S ribosomal RNA". It matches the Rfam family "Bacterial small subunit ribosomal RNA", at positions 524 to 776 of the family's 1533-position model. The record is from RNAcentral. Lineage: Bacteria; Pseudomonadati; Myxococcota; Haliangiales; Kofleriaceae.
UACAUGGGGUGCAAACGUUGCUCGGAAUUAUUGGGCGUAAAGCGCACGUAGGCGGUCCGUUAAGUCGCAUGUGAAAUCCCUCGGCUCAACCGAGGAAGUGCGUGCGAAACUGGCGGGCUAGAGUACGGAAGAGGGUCGCGGAAUUCCCGGUGUAGAGGUGAAAUUCGUAGAUAUCGGGAGGAACACCGGUGGCGAAGGCGGCGACCUGGGUCGAUACUGACGCUGAGGUGCGAAAGCGUGGGGAGCAAACAGG